GGAAUAUUGGACAAUGGGCGCAAGCCUGAUCCAGCCAUGCCGCGUGCAGGAUGACGGUCCUAUGGAUUGUAAACUGCUUUUGUACGAGAAGAAACAACUCUACGUGUAGAGUCUUGACGGUAUCGGAAGAAUAAGGAUCGGACAACUCCGUGCCAGCAGCCGCGGUAAUACGGAGGGUCCAAGCGUUAUCCGGAAUCAUUGGGUUUAAAGGGUCCGUAGGUGGUUUAGUAAGUCAGUGGUGAAAGCCCAUCGCUCAACGGUGGAACGGCCAUUGAUACUGCUAGACUUGAAUUAUUAGGAAGUAACUAGAAUAUGUAGUGUAGCGGUGAAAUGCUUAGAGAUUACAUGGAAUACCAAUUGCGAAGGCAGGUUACUACUAAUGGAUUGACGCUGAUGGACGAAAGCGUGGGUAGCGAA
This 417-nucleotide ribosomal RNA is filed under the name uncultured bacterium. Its description in RNAcentral is "bacterial SSU rRNA". It matches the Rfam family "Bacterial small subunit ribosomal RNA", at positions 358 to 772 of the family's 1533-position model. The record is from RNAcentral.